Molecule: long non-coding RNA, 3663 nt
Organism: Phacochoerus africanus (Common warthog)
Lineage: Eukaryota; Metazoa; Chordata; Mammalia; Artiodactyla; Suidae
Exons: 4
Source: RefSeq, a predicted model, not a curated record
GCGAGGGGUCGGGAGGGGGAGAAGGUGGGGGUGGCUGCCUCCCAGGGCCGAAGUCUGCAGCCGGGCUGAUUCUGCAGCCGGAGCAGGGUGGCUGCCAGCCACAUUUGUAUUUCAACUGUCUUCCUCCCGGGCUGGAGGGGCGCCAGGGGCGGGGCCACCGCUCCCGCUCUGAGCCACUUCCUGGGUCUCAGGCAAAGCCAGCAGCGGGGACACUGCCUCGGGGCUGCUUGAGUACUGUCCCCCCUGCUCUGAGCACUUGACACACCUGACCCAACUGGCUCACUCCGGUGGGGCGGGCGGAACCUCUGGAGGGAGGUGAGUUGUCCUGUCGCCUCGCUCCGACGCCCUUUCCUUUCCAGAGAGCCAGUGCCGUGGCUCUCUGGGCAUGCACCCUCGUCUCACCCCAGCUUGGGCAGCUCUCCUGGGCCGGACCUGGGCCCUGUGGGUCGGAGAGGAUGGUGUCAGGGAGGCGUCGCGAUCCCAGCCGGCCGGGGGUCAGCUUCAGACUCCUGGAGCAGGACCCUGUUGGGAGCAGGUGGCCUGGAGCUCCUGAUGCCUGUGGUGGCCUAGACCGUGCUGAGGACAUCCCAGCUGAGGAUGGGCGAGGGCAGGGCUGACAGAUGGAGGACCCGAGGUCCUGAUGCCAUGGCAUGAGCCCCUGCGACCAGCUGGCCUGAAAUUGAGGCCAAGCCCAGGCUGCAAGGCUAAGUGAGGCCAUCAACACCCUCUUGCUGUCACUUGCACCCCAAGGCUUGGGACGAGGGUGACCCCCUUGGAUGUCCCAAUGCCCGUGGACCUGGCCUGCAUGUAGGGAUCACCCAGGCGUUUCACAAACUCCUGACGCCCAGACUUGUGAUGUCUCAGUCCUUGGGGUGGGAGGGCACUGCCGUUAAAGCCCGCAGGUGGCUCCAACGUGCAGCCAGGAUUGAGAACCACUGCGGAGGCAGUUUGCCCAGCCACCAGGCCAACCAUUCAAUGAGUGCCCAAGAGGAGAGGAGCCCACCUCAUCCCCGCCAGAGAAGCUGAAGAUCCAUGGAGGGGGGAGGGGGUGGGGAGCAGCAGAAACAGAAGCGGCAGGAGAGCCUGGGGAGUCCUGACAUCCCGCCCAGCUUCAGGAGCCUUGGUGCUGGGGACAGACAUGCCAGCAUUGUCACUUCUCCUAGCCUCCACUGGUUCUUGCCCCAGAAAGGGGCCAUCAAGGUGGGAGGUGCUGGUGGCAAUGCCGAAAAACGCAAGUUGCUGGGUAUGGAGGUCCCGACCUGGAACAAAAGCACAGGGGCUGUGCCCGGCUCUGGGGCCUCCCAGCCUUAGGCCCAUACAGGGACCCGAAACAGGCGUUGAGACCACGCCUCCAGAGAGGCGAGGAGAGACUCCGACAAGGACACCGACCGUGAAGGCCUCGAACCAGAGUCGGCCGGUGGCGACAGAGUGGACGCCACUGCUGUUAGCAGGAAGUCACAGCCCAGAUGCGCAGGAAGCUCCCUGGGGGCUGACAGAGACCAGAGCCCUCGUGGGGUCUGCAGGAUAUUCUUUCAUGCCUUCUCUCCAUUUCCCUCAGCAAACAUGGGGGGCCACCUGCUGCGCCUCUGACAGGAAGGGACACACUCAACAGUCCCCUCUUUAAGGAUCAGAAAGCAGAGGCGGGGGGACACGCCCAGCUAACAGCUGGGGAGGAAAAAGCAGUGUAUGUGGGGACGGAUACAUCCCCAGCUGGAGGCAUCCACUGGGAUCCUGGAAAGUGUCCCCUGCGGAUAAAGGCGGUGGGUGGGGAGGACGACCGUAUUACACCCAAAGCUGCUGGGAACAUUUGGAGACAAGCCUCUGUGUGAACGACGGUGGGCCAAUCAAAACGAUGAGUGCGAUGCCACUUUCCUCGUUUGACACGGAGCUACGAUUAGUGAGAGGCUGUCCCUGGAAAAAGCUCCAUGAAGGGAACACAGCAGCACUACACCCAUGUGCAACUUCUUCGUGGUUUAAAAUGACUUCAAAAUAAAAAGUUCAGUGGCAGGGAAACAGCGGAGAAAGCUAACAUUCUUGCCUUACUCCCAGGCUUCAAAGGAAAAAGUCUUUCCCUAUGAAGAAUGACGUUAACUGCAGGUUUUUCACAGAUGCCCUUUAAAGAAGUUCCUUUUUUUUUUUUUAAUGCACAUUUUAAAAAAUUAAAGAAUGGUUGAUAAGAAGUUCCGUUUAUUCCUAGUUUACUAAAAGUGUUUUGCUUGUUUUUACAUCAAAAGUGAGUACUGGAUUUUGUCGAAUGCCUUUCCUGUGUCUUUUGAGAUUAUCAUAUGGUUUUUUCCUUAUUAGCUCUUAACGUGGUAAAUGAUGUGGAUUUUAGAAUAUUAAACCAAACCUGCAUUCUUGGAGUAAAUCGCACUUUGUCAUGAAGUGUGACAUUUCAUUUUUGUAUGUUCCUGGAUUCAACUGGCUAAAUUUUUGCCAAGGAUUUUUGCCUCUAUGUUCAUGAGACACUGGUCUAUAUUUUUCUUUUCUUAUACUUGUCUGCUUUUAGUAUCGGGGUGGUGGUGUCCUCAUAAAAUGAACUGGGAGGAGCUCCCAGUUCUUAAAAUCAUGGAGGAUUUUGUGUUGGCUUGUUAUGACCUCUUCCUUAAAUGCUUGGCACAAUUUACCAUUUGGGCUUGGAAUUUUCUUUUGCGUGAGGGCAUUUUGCUUUUGCUUUGCUCAAAUCUUUUGACAACUUGAUUAAGGUGCAAUUUACCUUGAAAUUUACCGAUUUAAAGCAUAAGAAGACGGGAUUACCACUUGGAAGGAAAUUAAUCUCAUUUUUCCCACCCCUGUCCUGGGAGACCUUUAACUGCAUGCCUGAGCGCCAGGCAGGCAUGAGUCGCUGGAGUCCAGUGUACUUCAGCUUCUUAAAAGUCAAGAGCUGCUUUCCGGCACCUCCUUCCUCCUGUGCUGCUCCUCACGCUGCUCUGGCCUCAGCCGACGAGCUCCAGCUUCCCAUCCCACCCGCCUCCUGGGACUGUUCUCCAGAGCAUCGCCGAGAACACCACGUCCCCUCGGGGCUCGGCCCACAGACAUGCCUCAGACCCUUGUACUUGAUCUUCUACAGAGAUUGCUGGUUGACCCUCUUCCCUGGCUGUCCCAGUCCCCGCAGGAAACAGGCGGCUCUUUAUAAGGCGUGCGUGACUGGGGGUAGGGACACCACAGGUGCAGCUGGGAUCUGGAGCUACGGCCACUCCUGGGUCGGAAGGGACAGCGGCAGUGCAGGAGGCAGCCCUGGGGAGGGAACUGGGGCCUCCCAGCUCACCCCUCACCUUCUGCUGGUCUGGGCCCAUCCAGAGGGCACUAACGGGUGUGACUCAGGCAGCCUCUGGGGACGCAGAGCAGGGCAGAGGGAUGGAGAAGGAGGGUGAUUCCAUCCACCCCAAUGUCCUCCAGAAAAGGCCUCUCUCCUUUACCAGCCUCUCAGGGCAUCCUGCGCCCCGUGGGUCCUGCGGGAUGAUCUCCUUUGUUCCGAAGGCCCAUCAGGCACCGUAAUGACACCCACACCAGUUCAGACCUCUCACGGGAGCUCCAAUCUCCGAUGAAGGAACACAACCAGCGCAAGAACAAGGGGUCCUUCUUGGCUCCCCCAAGCGGCGGUGUCAGAGGUUCGAAGUGGGAGAAGUCGGGGAAACGGGGUCCGAAUGGUGACAGCCAGAG